Long non-coding RNA from Cyprinus carpio carpio, 1736 nucleotides. Lineage: Eukaryota; Metazoa; Chordata; Actinopteri; Cypriniformes; Cyprinidae. The record is from Ensembl.
AAAAAAAAAAAAAAAUACAAAUAAGUAGGUAAGAAAUGACAAUAUACAAAUUGACAAUUGUAUGGCAGGUAUAUUACAAUGAGCAGUUGUGUAUGUACAGGUAUAUUAUGUGCAAAAAUAUUUAAGGUACACUAAGUAUGUGUGUUAGAUAAAUAAGUGUAUGUGUAUGUAAAUAUAAAUAGUGUAGUGUGUUCCACAGUUAUUAUCAAGUGUUCAUUAGAUGGAUUGCCUGAGGGAAGAAACUGUUCCUGUGUCUGGUCAUUCUGGUGCUCAGUGCUCUGUAGCGUCAACCAGAUGGCAACAGUUCAAACAGGGAGUGUGCUGGAUGUGAGGGGUCCAGAGUGAUUUUGCCAGCCUUUUUGCUCAUUCUGGAUAAGUACAGUUCUUGAAUAGACGGGAGGGUUGUACCGAUGAUUCUCUCAGCAGUCCGGACUACCCUCUGUAGUCUUCUGAGGUCAGAUUUAGAAGCUGAGCUGAACCAGACAGUUACAGAAGUGCAGAGGAUGGAUUCAAUGAUGGUGGAGUAGAUCUGUUUCAGCAGUUCUUGUGGUAGGUUGAAUUUCCUCAGCUGGCGACAGUCCAAACCAAUGGAGGACGAAGGAAUGUGGCAACAUUUCUGCAAAAAAAUGUUGCUGAUUGCACAUUUUGAAAUAUAUUAACGUGAAUCUGGUGAUUUUUUUUUUUUUUUUUUUUUACAUUUGUUGCUGUAUUGCUGCAGUUUGGAAAUAAAAUGAUGUGUGAGUGGUGCUAAAAGAAAAAAAAUAACGCACCACCUGCACUAAACCCUACCCUAAACCCAAAAGACAAUGGUAACAAAAGCAAACGUGAAAUAAAAAACACCAUUUUCUGUUUCACAGGACUCAUACCUGAGCACUUUGCAUCGCAAGAGCAAUGCUGUACCAGGUUUUGCUGGACAUUUCAUCAGACAGCCAUUCACUUUCCCUGUGGAAAAAUCAUGUACUACCCUCAGCAUUCGGUACGCCCUGCCACUCACUUGAAGAUACUCUUCAAUAUUGGAUAUACAUUUGCAAAUGCACACAUUUUCUACAGUGACAUGUGUCAUGCUUCCUUGUUGUCAUGGCAUCAAGCCAUGCAGUCCUAACUGACUGCAACUUACAGCUGCAAAUUCGCUGUGCUUUUGAGCCAAAAUUUUACCAAAUUAGUCUGUUCCCGACAACAUCAGUUGGUUGAAUACUCUAUUCAAAAGAAAUUCAAUUGUUUAGCUAUCAUACAAUUCAAAACAUAAUCUGUUAAUACCAUAAUAGUCUGAUUGGUUGUGUUGAAUUAAUUACUCAUCACAUUAAAAAUGCUUUCAGUAGUUUGGUGCUAAUUUAAAAAGUUUUACACAAUAUGAAAAAAGUGUUUUUGUGAAGAGUCUGAGUCACAUCUCAGAUAAAGACUGUUCUCAUAAUAGUUCUAUAAAACGUGCUUUGUUUAGUUUCACUAAGCGUCAGAGAGAAUCCUGACAAUCAUUGGCUACUGCCUCUGUAGAUACACUAGUAGUGCUGUGCUGUAUUCUGAUGCCAAGAGUGAAAAUCAAACAAUGAAACACACUUUACCUAAAUUAUCAUGCUUUACCAGCAGAGACAAUGGCAGAAUACGUACCUGUACAGCUGAAGAGGCAAAAAAACCAACAAAGACAAGUAACAAAUGUUAACAUUGGUACACCUGGAUGGACUUUUUGGAAUCAGCCUUUUCCUUUUCUUUGUCACAGGAGAGCUGCUAAAAAGCUGAAA